AUCCACUCCACUGGGGUUUUGUAAGCAAGCUCAGGAUAUGGCCUAGCUGGACCCUUCUUCCCUGGCUCACUACAUGAUGGAUUUUCCUUUUUUUUUUUCCUGGAGCGAAUCUCUGUAGGCAAAACUCUUCAAUGUUCUCAAACAGAUUUUUAAUUAUGUGAGUUGGUGAUACCAAGAUGUGUCUCAGCAGCAGAGCCGCAGUCUGUCUGAAGCACAAAAUACGUGGCUAAAAGGGCGGAUCAGCCACAUCCUAAGGAGGAGAGAAGAGGCACUGUGCAGCUGUGGUGCUGAAACAGCUCUUGUGAUCCAGGAGCAUGCGCAGCUCUGGUCAGGACUUGGGAAAGCAAGACGAGCCUCUCGUUGCUGCUGUUAUAAGGAAAGAAACUCCUACUAAGAUGGAAGGAGAAGAUAAAGAAAACCUCUCUUCUAGCCUGCAAGCCUGUGUCUCAGCUGUGGAAAAACUAGUUUAAUGGCUCAAAGAAAAAGAAUUAGAUUUGCUGUGGUCCUGAGACCGGAGACCCAAUGGAAUAUUCUUCACUUUAGAGUUGUAUUGAGUGGUCCUAGUCUUUGAAGUAAUGUAGGUAAAUCUGUAUUUAACUUGAUAAACUAUACAUUCCAUGAUUUGUACAAUAAAAUUAAAUUCAGAUUUACCAGUAUUAUUUUGUAAACAUGUAAUCAAGUAAUUCAAAAUAAUUUUGUAGCAUCACAUUUAAGUGUUUCCUAUAAUCAGUACUACUUUAUUUAUCCUCCAAAUCCAAAAGUAUGAACUUCACAAAAUGUUGGUGCACGUUUUGAUGAUUAAACUUCAAAGUAGAUGAAUGAGAUUCCCAAAUGUUUUCAAGCAAAUCAAUAUAGUAAUUUAUUAAUUUCAGAAUAAACAGGUACAGCCAAGUCUUUGUAGUCAGAUUGUGCAGGUAAUGUCAGGCUACAGUCGAAAAUGUUUGCUGUUGAUUUUUCUGUGAUCUCUCACAGUUUCAGUGUUUCACCAACUACUAAAGAAGCUUAUGACUGCAUAAAAGGUGAGCUAUUUCUCUUCAGGGGUGAUAGAACACUUCAGAGACAUACUUGCAAGCUGCUGUCGUUUUGGUCAGCUUUAUGACAUGAACUCAUUAUUUUGCAUGUGAUAGAGUGAGCAAAAGAAAUACAUAACUUGCAAAUAGAAUUAAGUUGGAUUUUCUCAGGUUGCUUGUCUGUAUCGAUACUGUUGGUGCUCCAAGGGCACUGCUUAAUAUUUUGAAAAAGUCAAUCUUUGCUCCUAAGAUAGAUAGGAGUGCCAGAGGAGAUGUAUGGACUGUGUGCACUUGCAAUUUCUUCCGUACUUAAAAUGUGUCUUACCUGACCUUGUAAUGAGUUGGUUCACACAGCUAAACCAGCAGGUAUUCAUCCCUGAAAAAAGAUUAAUUCUCUGUUAGUUUCAUUGAAUUAAGUUAACUUAGCUGUAAGUUUAAACUAUACUCUUCAAAUUUGCUUCUAGCAAACUUGAAAUGCUUCCAUUGUUAUUUGUUUCUCAUUCUUACUUUUAUAUGACUAGCAGAUUUUAAGUAUUCUGAAAUUCUGCUUGCUUCAUCAGUCAGUUCAGCAGAAAGUUAUUUACCCAUUAAAAUCUUUAUGCUUUGAUCACUUCUUCUUUUCUUCCUCUUUUAAUCUCAAAUUUCUAUUUAAUGCUUUCCUUGUAACAUUUGUAAAAAUUAUAUUGUAAAAGUUAAUGCUUGGUUUUCACAUAUCACUUGGCCAUUGUAAUACAAAUCUGCUGUAAGAUCCUGAAGGUAAGAUGUCUAAAAAAAACAAAAAACCUUUCUAUUUACUGAAAGAAAACUGAAGGAUGAUAAUCGCAUACCAAAAUAUCAGAAACUUAUCUCAUAGCAUUAAUUUCUGCAUGUAUUUGUAACUGCCUAUCAGAUUUUUCUUUAAAAUAUUAUAUUGAGCUUUUAAAAAGUAAUUCAUCUUGAAAAUCUUUCAGUUGACAGUUGCUUAAGUACAAUGCCUUCUGUGCAUGUUUCUCUUUUGUUUAGCUCUACAAAGAAUUUAAAAUUAUGUUCCUUCUUUCCUUCCAAAUAUUUUCAAACAUUUUAUUUCUAACUUACAACUUGAAACCGUUUGUGAUGAUCUGAAGAGAUCUGGUCAGAAUAUAUCUCUCAAGAUCUCAUAAUUAAUAGUGGAUUAAUAGAGUUGUUGGCUGCUUUAGUCAGGAUGGCAUUAUGAACUUAUACAAAUACAUUCCAGGCUAAGUCAGCAAGAAAGCAGCACUUUGAUGUAUUGAAUUCAGAUUAUUUGACUAUAUUAUAAUUAAUUGUUAAAAGGGAAAAUUAAGCCCUGAAUAUGAUGAGAGCAAAAUACCACCAAAAACAUUGAUACCUACACUUCUCUUGGAUAUAAGAUAGGUCUGUGCUUUAAGAAAACAAAAGUAGAAAUGUUUGCAACUUCCUCUGCCUCAUUCUUUUGUCCACCUCUGCUGGACUGCUCUGUACAUUUGUAAGUUUUUGGUGCAGUUUGCACAUCACCUUGAUGUCAAAAUACAUACACUGCUGUUUUUCUGGCUAUUUCUCUAGAGUGAGCUAUUAUUAGAGAUCAAAAGAUAUCUGGACACUGAUAAUUUAUUAGUUUGUAAAGCAGAGUAUGAGUAAAUAUUAGUAUGGUGUUAAAGUAUCAGUUUACUGUGCAA
Molecule: long non-coding RNA, 2662 nt
Organism: Lagopus muta (rock ptarmigan)
Lineage: Eukaryota; Metazoa; Chordata; Aves; Galliformes; Phasianidae
Exons: 5
Source: RefSeq, a predicted model, not a curated record